This 253-nucleotide unclassified non-coding RNA is filed under the name Hevea brasiliensis (rubber tree). Lineage: Eukaryota; Viridiplantae; Streptophyta; Magnoliopsida; Malpighiales; Euphorbiaceae. The record is from RNAcentral.
GUGAGUAAACUUCCACGGCGGUGGGUAUAUAUAUUAAUAAUUCAGAGUAUUUUAGGUUAUAGAGAAUAAAUGGAGAAUAAAUAUUGCAGUAUAACAAAUAUUAAUCAGGCUCCACAACCUAACAGGUCGAUCAUAGUCAUAUCUAACCACUACUUGGGUGAUCACUUACAUUAACACAAAAAACAAACAACGGACAACUCGAUUCACUAAGCUCCCGCUAUAUACGGAAUCCGCGGAAGGCCCAAAUUGCAUU